AGGACGAACGCUGGCGGCGUGCUUAACACAUGCAAGUCGAGCGGAAAGGCCUUUCGGGGUACUCGAGCGGCGAACGGGUGAGUAACACGUGAGUAAUCUGCCCAUCGCUUCAGGAUAGCCAUCGGAAACGGUGAUUAAUACUGGAUAUGACAUUCCUUCGCAUGUUGGGGUGUGGUAAAGUUUUUUCGGCGGUGGAUGUGCGUCGCGGCCUAU
This 213-nucleotide ribosomal RNA is filed under the name uncultured soil bacterium. RNAcentral's name for it is "partial 16S ribosomal RNA". It matches the Rfam family "Bacterial small subunit ribosomal RNA", at positions 26 to 241 of the family's 1533-position model. The record is from RNAcentral.